UUAAAAAGUGCCUCAUUUAGAAGCUUCGCUCGACUAUUUUCUUGUUUGAUAUUUUGACAUCCUCGUUUAACAGAUGAUGUUAUUAUUAUAUUCGUGUUUUGUGAGGUUGUGAAGAGGUUUUCUUGGUUUCUAACUGUGGAAUGUGAAGAAUUCCUGGAGAAUAAAGGAGGUUUUGUUCAGUUCAGGCAGGCUUGGUCUGAAGACACCUGUUGACCUGAAGCCAUGAUGACAGGAUGUCCCCUAACCCCAGAGGUUAGCCGCUACAAUCAGAGACAUGUGGACGUUACCCACAAUCCUUAGAGGCUAACGGGACCAUCAGGGCUCUGUCAGGUCUAGAAAGAACCAUAGUACCACUAAUCAGGUUUAGAAGGAGUCAUAGUAGCACUAAUCAUGAGGUCUAGAAGGAGUCAUAGUGCCACUAAUCAGGUCUAGAAGGAGUCAUAGUUCCACUAAUCAGGAGGUCUGGAAGGAGUCAUAGUGCCACUAAUCAGGUCUAGAAGGAGUCAUAGUUCCACUAAUCAGGAGGUCUAGAAGGAGUCAUAGUUCCACUAAUCAGGAGGUCUAGAAGGAGUCAUAGUACCACUAAUCAGGAGGUCUAGAAGGAGUCAUAGUACCACUAAUCAGGAGGUCUAGAAGGAGUCAUAGUUCCACUAAUCAGGAGGUCUAGAAGGAGUCAUAGUACCACUAAUCAGGAGGUCUAGAAGGAGUCAUAGUGCCACUAAUCAGGAGGUCUAGAAGGAGUCAUAGUACCACUAAUCAGGUUUAGAAGGAGUCAAAUACCACUAAUCAGGAGGUGUAGAAGGAGUCAUAGUACCAUUACUCAGAAUGGUGAGAACCUGACCAGGACUACCACAGUGAAUGCAUAGUCCUGACAGCGAAGCAUGGAGGUGGAAGUGUAAUGAUAUUGAUACUGUAAGACAUAAAUAGAUGAACCAUGAAUGCCAGAGGACAUAUCAAAACCCAAAAUGACCACAAAGAGACACAA
Molecule: long non-coding RNA, 985 nt
Organism: Acanthochromis polyacanthus (spiny chromis)
Lineage: Eukaryota; Metazoa; Chordata; Actinopteri; Pomacentridae
Exons: 3
Source: RefSeq, a predicted model, not a curated record